AUCGUUAUCAUUUCCCCUGCUUCCAUUUGUAGGAAGCUGCCUUAAUCACGAUGAACCCAGGCUACGCAGGCAGGACCGAGCUCCGGGACAACCUGGAGGCCGCUUCAGAUCCGUCUCCAUGAUUGUGCCCGACCACGCCGUCAUCGCAGAGGUGGACUUGUGAGCUGAGGGCUUCAAGUCCAGUGAGACUCUGGCGAAGAAGAUGAUUCAGCUGUAUAAGCUGUGCAGCAAGCAGCUUUCCCGGCAGGACCACUACGACUUCAGCAUGAGAGUCGUCAACUCUGUUAUCGUCAUGGCCGGGUCUCUGAUGCGAGAGGACCCACACCUGAGUGAGAACGUGGUGUUGAUUAGAGCGCUACGAUACUCCAACCUGCACAAGUUACUCAAGGAUGACGCAGAACUUAAAAUAAAAUAAAUUGAUAAAUAGUAAAGAACGCCAAAGCUUACAUAUGGAGUAUCAAAGGUGUUGGCUCAAAUUUAGCCUAUUACCCAAAAACACUUAAAAUUCAACUUAGAAGCCAAUACUCACAUCUACCUCUGAGCCCAGUGGGAGAUAGAAAAAAACACCAGUUGUGAGUGAGAAGAAGCAAGGGUCCAGCUUUAUUGGUUCCAUUCCACCACACGAGAUCCACACCGAUGAGAAUUCUCAGAAGUGAUCUGAUACCCUGAGCUUAAGCUCCAGUAUUUAUAUUGUAUUUACCCAGUAAAUAACCCAUAUGUUUCAAGAAGACUAUAUCACUACCAAUAGGGUUAAAAAAGAGCUCAUCUAGCUUACUAUUAUGUUCAAGAAAAGGGCUAUUCCACUUGCACAUAGAAUCAAAACCAGGGGUUUUCAAAUUACACAUAGAAUCAAAACCAGGGGAUUUCUAAUAACCCAGAAAAUCAAAACCAAGGGAUUUCUGAUAACCCAGAAAAUCAAAACCAAGGGAUUCUACUAACCCAGAGAAUCAAAACCAAGGGAUUUGAAUAACCCGUAAAAUCAAAAGUGGAGAGACAAAACAUUAUCAUUAUCACAGGAUCACUGGAAUCAGGCACUAGGAGGAAAUUCCAGGACAAAUUAGGAAAUACAAUUAACUGACAUUUGCAAAUUCUUUGCAACUAAAAAGCUGUAAUUAUAUACUAUAUAACUUUUUUUUAAAGCAUUUGAAGUAUAUAACAUUAGCACCUUGUAAUGUUAUACCAGAUGAAAAGUAAAGAAUCCUGGAACAUCUGAACAUCCAUAAUCUGAAAAUCUUGAACCUAGUGUCAAUCGAGUCAAUCCAAUCUUUGUGCGUUUAGCGGUAUUCAGUCGGACCUCUUUCCUGGUGUGGGCGUCCCCGUGCAUGACUACGGCGUGCUUCAGUCGAACAUCGAGGCAGCUCUAUGCGCUGCAACCCUUCUCCAGCAUGACCGCCAAGGUGAUCCAGCUGUACGAGACCAUGCUGGUGCACCAGGGCGUCUCGCUGGUGGGCCCUACAAGAGGCGGUUAGACCACGGCGUACCGUGCCCUCGCUGACGCACUGCGCACGCUCCACGAGACAGAGGGCUGCGAGGUGAAUCCCUUCUACAAGCCCAUCGAGACCGACGUGGUCAACCCGCAGUCAGUGAGCAUGGACGAGCUGUAUGGUGAAGACGACCCUCUCACACUGGAGUGGAGUGCCAUCAAACUGUCCCUCGGCAGUGACAUCGUCGACACGCACAAGUGGGUGGUGAGUGACGUACCUGUGGACGUGCCUGUGGAUUGAGAAAAUUACCGCCGUGUUGGACAACAACAAGACGCUCUGUCUGGCUAACGGUGAAAGGAUCAAGCUCACACCUUCUACACACAUGUUAUUCGAGGUGUUACCCAUCAGACACAGGUAGCACCGGUCCUAAAAACCAUCACAAACAAGCACAAGCAUGUCAUUUCCAAGAAGAUUUUUUUUUUUUACAUUAAACGCGUUCCUGAUGGAAAGGUCACACACAAACGUAUCUUUAAGACUUCACUCUUUCACACAGCUAUAACGAGCGAUAAACGCAUUCGAAGCAUGUUAUAAAGCCUCCGUAAUGCAUUACGCAUAGUAUUUAAAUAAAUAUUAUUAUAAUAACAUGCACUGCACUACAUUAUGCAUUAUGAAUUCUUAACAUAUUGUUAACAUGUCUUUACUGUGAGCGGGAUGAUGACCAGACGGAGGCAGGCUCCCGGGUACUCAUAUCCGUAGACGUACUGAUACAGGGCCAUUCUGGCCACGCACUUAUCCAGAUCCACGUCCCAGUAUUAGCACAGCUGCUUCUGCCACUCAAAGUUACUGCUCGAGUCCACCUACGUGAACACAUACAAAAUGACAUGUGAUAUAUAUACGGUCUCACUGUAUACGAAUUGGGCAUUCUCGCUGACGAUAUAGCGUGGAUAGUUUAUAAUGAGUGCGUUCAUACUGUAUAAACCUGGGAACUGAUUUGCAUAUGCACUGCUGUCAGAGCUGCAGUUAUUUUUAAAAGAUUUAUUAACAGCUUCUGACCAAUCAGAUCUGACCACACCCAUGAUUCCCUUCGCUCUGAAGAGAAGGCGUGUAGCCGUCUGUACCCUUUCAUUGACGAGCUCGGUGACGAUGUCUCUGGUGUGGACAUCCACAGUAAUGAGAGCUGUGAUGAUGCUCUGAUGUAUUUUGGGUAAGUUACCCAAGAGUGGCCAACACAUUCAGCCUCUGUAUAAACACACACACACACACACACACACAGAGUAAUACCCGUACAUUACCACAUAUUACACCAUACACCAUUAUGUCAUGUAAUCAGAGAAGGAAAUCUGUACUACAGUUCCCAGCAGCCACUGCAUCACAGUCACAUGACCAUCUGCACCUGGAUCACAUUCCUGGUAAGCACUUGUGUAUUUAGCCACAGUUUUCACUGCACUCUUUGUCUCACGUUUGUCUUUCUUUACCUUUGUCCCUGGUGCUGUGUUUUUCUCUUUGGUUUAUGUUUAGUCUUUGCCACAGUGAUUUGCCCCAAUGUCAGUGUCUUUUGUAUUUUGUUUAGUUCUUUAUUAAACUUGAAAAAUCUGCACUUG
Long non-coding RNA from Ictalurus punctatus (channel catfish), 3025 nucleotides. RefSeq lists it as uncharacterized. The transcript has 3 exons. Lineage: Eukaryota; Metazoa; Chordata; Actinopteri; Siluriformes; Ictaluridae. The record is from RefSeq and is a predicted model, not a curated record.